ACAUAUUUCAAAAAAUCUUUUAGUCUCCACGAAGCCCUUCUUUCCUUUUUUCAGUCUGGUAACCUUAGUCAACUUUUCUCUUGUGUGCGACGAACAUAACCCGAAACACCACCCAGCAUGUAAUGUCCUUCUCACUUUUUUAGUGCCUCUUUCGUAAGAAUAUGGGCAUAUGUAUUCUCUGCUUUAGGGAUAAAAUGAAAUCCGAUCUCCUGAAAAUAAAUAUUUUUACUGUGGAUAUCUCUGAUGAGUGCCCCAAUAAAUGAGUGCCCCAAUAAUCGAUCUGUCGAAAUCUGUAGUUUGACAUUUCUUUAUUACAGUUCUUGAAUCUCCCAUUAUUUCCAGAAUACUAAAACCCAUAGAAAUUCCUAAUUGCAUGGCUUGUAAUCCUGCAUGUACCUCCGCUGCAAACGGAGAUGCUACAUCGGAGUGGAGAACCGUAUUUGAUUCCAAAAGUUCACCCCCCACAUCUCGUACUACCAAUCCUGAAGCAGAUCUGGAAGAUCGUUGAUCAAAAGCUGCGUCAAAGUAGAUCGUCACCCGCGUUCUCCUAUCGACAUGUUUAUGGCCUCUGUCUAUUUUUAAGAAUAACCAAAGUCCGUAACAAAAAAGACGACAUUGUUCGCUAGUCCCCCAACUAAAAACCCCAGGACACUGCUGAAAUAUAUGGUUACUGUCUUCCUCAAAGUGACGACACUGGGGACAGUGAGCUUCCACAGCCAUUUUUUUAUGCUUGAGAUUAGCUAGAAUAGGAAUAUAAUUCCUGGAGAUUCUUCAUACUGCUAUUUUAACUUUUGAAGGAAUGUAUAAAUUCCAUAGUUUUCUGUAAAAAUCUUUAGUCUCAGCAUGUAUAAUAUUAUUACUAGGAUUAGUCUCCUGUAAUAGUUUAUAAGCGCUUCUAACUGAGAAAUCGCCAGACGGUUCUCUCUACACUUGGAAGUCUUCGUGUACGGUCUCCGCCAAAGGGAUCUACAUAAUUUUCUUUGCACUAUCCACAUUAAAGUUAUUAACAAUUAUAUUUUUUUUCCAA
Molecule: long non-coding RNA, 1027 nt
Organism: Gossypium raimondii (Peruvian cotton)
Lineage: Eukaryota; Viridiplantae; Streptophyta; Magnoliopsida; Malvales; Malvaceae
Exons: 3
Source: RefSeq, a predicted model, not a curated record